CACCUCUAAAAAUSGUGCAGAAUAAGGGGUGGGYAAGMCUGGUGUCAGCCGCCGCGGUAAUACCWGCACCCCGAGUGGUGGUCAYUAUUAUUGGGCCUAAAGCAUCCGUAGCCGGUUGUACAAAUSUUCCGGUAAAUCCACCUGCUUAACAGAUGGAAUUCCGAGGAUACUAUGCAGCUAGGAAGCGGGAGAGGCAAGAGGUACUYAGUGGGUAGGGGUAAAAUCCUGUGAUCCUUUGAAGACCACCAGUGGCGAAGGCGGCUUGCCAGAACGCGCUCGACGGUGAGGGAUGAAASCUGGGGGAGCAAACCGGAUUAGAUACCCGGGUAGUCCCAGGCUGUAAACGAUGCAGACUCGGUGAUGAAUAGGCUUCGUGCCUAUUCAGUGCCGCAGGAAGCCGUUAAGUCUGCCGCCUGGGGAGUACGGUCGCAAGACUGAAACUUAAAGGAAUUUGGGCGGGGGGAG
This 465-nucleotide ribosomal RNA is filed under the name uncultured crenarchaeote. Its description in RNAcentral is "bacterial SSU rRNA". It matches the Rfam family "Archaeal small subunit ribosomal RNA", at positions 414 to 879 of the family's 1478-position model. The record is from RNAcentral. Lineage: Archaea; Thermoproteati; Thermoproteota.